UAGGGAAUAUUGGACAAUGGGCGCAAGCCUGAUCCAGCCAUGCCGCGUGGAGGAAGAAGGCCCUCUGGGUUGUAAACUCCUUUUAUCGGGGGAUAAACGACCGCUAUACGCGGUCCUGAAGGUACCCGAAGAAUAAGCACCGGCUAACUCCGUGCCAGCAGCCGCGGUAAUACGGAGGGUGCAAGCGUUGUCCGGAUUCAUUGGGUUUAAAGGGUGCGUAGGCGGCCCUGUAAGUCAGCGGUGAAAUCCCACGGCUCAACCGUGGAAUUGCCGUUGAUACUGCGGGGCUGGAGUUCGACCGAGGUCGCUGGAACGCGUAGUGUAGCGGUGAAAUGCUUAGAUAUUACGCAGAACACCGAUUGCGAAGGCAGGUGGCUAGGUCGCGACUGACGCUGAGGCA
This 400-nucleotide ribosomal RNA is filed under the name uncultured bacterium. Its description in RNAcentral is "bacterial SSU rRNA". It matches the Rfam family "Bacterial small subunit ribosomal RNA", at positions 355 to 753 of the family's 1533-position model. The record is from RNAcentral.